This 338-nucleotide ribosomal RNA is filed under the name uncultured bacterium. RNAcentral's name for it is "bacterial SSU rRNA". It matches the Rfam family "Bacterial small subunit ribosomal RNA", at positions 43 to 386 of the family's 1533-position model. The record is from RNAcentral.
GAAUUCGAUUCAGGCCUAACACAAGCAAGUCGAGCGGGGUUUUCGGACCUAAAAAAGGACGGGUGAGUAAUGCGUAGGAAGCUACCCGAUAGAGGGGAUACCAGUUGGAAACGACUGUUAAUACCGCAUAAUGUCUACGGACCAAAGUGUGGGACCUUCGGGCCACAUGCUAUCGGAUGCGCCUACGUGGGAUUAGCUAGUUGGUGAGGUAAUGGCUCACCAAGGCGACGAUCCCUAGCUGGUUUGAGAGGAAAAUCAGCCACACUGUUUUUGGGGGACGGUCCAGACUCCUACGGGAGGCAGCAGUGGGGAAUAUUGGACAAUGGGCACAAGCCUGA